This is a non-coding RNA of Sturnus vulgaris (Common starling), 1301 nucleotides long. NCBI's taxonomy places the organism in Eukaryota, Metazoa, Chordata, Aves, Passeriformes, Sturnidae. The record is from RefSeq and is a predicted model, not a curated record.
UACUUUUCUGACAAUGUUUGGCGUGGUCCUGCAGCCCUCAGAAGGGCCCUGGUGCAAUCAGCAAGCUGAGCACCUUUAGCACAUAGCCAGUUGGGUCAGGCCAGCACAAACAUGGAUUCAACUCCCUCAAAUAGUACUCACUGGGACCAUGUGCCACUUCUCACAUUAAACUGAGGGUUCCCACCCUCAGCAGAUAUUAGACCAAAGCUCAAGUAGUUAAGUGGAUAUCUGUGUGGAUAUGGAAAUAUGCAUAUGUCUGUUGUUUAUUAAAAAGAAGCUACAAAUGAUCUCUGGCACAGACACCAAGAUCAGAACUCUCCUUCCAAAUGACUGCCCUGACCACUUAGACAAAGGUAAGCUCUGUCCUGAACUUACUGUACAUCUUGACUUUCCUCUAACUUGAGAAAAAGCCUGAGCUCUUGUCUGGCCUCCUUGGCCAGUGCCCCCAGUAGAAACAUGGCAGGAGGUGUGUAUCAGUGCAGGACUCCAUGGGCAUCUGAUGUCCCUGUUCCCCCAGGUUUGUGGGUAAAAGCCUCUCUGGGAGCCAGGAAGGCUGCAGGAUGCCAUGGGACACGUGCCUCUGAAGAGACCAGAUCAAGUCAUGCUGGGCUUGAUAGCUGUCCUAACAGGCUGGUCUCAUAGGGCAGCUCUGGUCACUGCCUGGACCUCAGCAGCAACUCCCAGGAUGUGUUAGCUGGGAUAUCUUGCUGUCCAGGGUCUACAUGUGGUGAGGUGGGCAGCAGCAUUUCCUGCUGUCCCCAAGCAUUCCAUUCCAAAAAGGAAAGAUCAAAUUGUACAGUUUCAUCAUUUGAAGAAAGGGAAUGUAAUGAAAAAUGGGGAAAUUAGAGUCUCAUUGUAUGUGUGGGUCAGUCUGCUUGUUUGUCCUCAACCACUUAAUUAGAAAAGGACACAUUAAAAUUGUUUAAUGAUUCCAAGACAAUUUACUCUUCUGUUUUCAGGGGAAGUUUGGAAAAGUUCAGGUAACAAGUAAAAUUUGAGUAAUACCCAUGUGGCUGUGACUGAAAUUGGAGGGCUUUGCCUCCUACAAGGCCUGAAGUGAUCAGCAAUUUCUUAGUCGGAAAAUAUGCUGCUUCCAUUGACAGUUCUGGUUACAGUGUAGCUCCAACUACUGGACUGUCUUGUUUGAAACAAAUUGUCAUUGCUGCAUUUUGGAAAACAGUUCUUGAGACUGAUGUGAGUGGUGCAAGCUUGCAGGACUGUUGAAUUAAUGUUUAACUUUAAGCCCAGCAUGAGUGCAGCAGGGCUCAGGCUGGACACUUCUUGAAUGUCAUGAACACCCC